This 377-nucleotide ribosomal RNA is filed under the name Corynebacterium matruchotii. Its description in RNAcentral is "bacterial SSU rRNA". It matches the Rfam family "Bacterial small subunit ribosomal RNA", at positions 117 to 493 of the family's 1533-position model. The record is from RNAcentral. Lineage: Bacteria; Bacillati; Actinomycetota; Actinomycetes; Mycobacteriales; Corynebacteriaceae.
GUGGGUGAUCUGCCCUGUACUUCGGGAUAAGCUUGGGAAACUGGGUCUAAUACCGGAUAGGACCAUGGUUUAGUGUCUCAUGGUGGAAAAAUUAUUGUUUUGGUGCAGGUUGAGCUCGCGGCCUAUCAGCUUGUUGGUGGGGUAAUGGCCUACCAAGGCGUCGACGGGUAGCCGGCCUGAGAGGGUGGACGGCCACAUUGGGACUGAGAUACGGCCCAGACUCCUACGGGAGGCAGCAGUGGGGAAUAUUGCACAAUGGGCGCAAGCCUGAUGCAGCGACGCCGCGUGGGGGAUGACGGCCUUCGGGUUGUAAACUCCUUUCGUUAGGGACGAAGCCACGCCUUUUUGGGUGUGGUGACGGUACCUUGUAGAAGCCG